GAUGAAUGCUGGCGGCGUGCCUAACACAUGCAAGUCGAGCGGUAACAGAUCUAGCUUGCUAGAUGCUGACGGGCGGCGGACGGCUGAGUAACGCGUGGGAACAUACCCCAAAGUGAGGGAUAACCGCCCGAAAGGGUGGCUAAUACCGCAUAUGGUCUUCGGAUUAAGGGAUUUAUCCGCUUUGGGAAUGGCCUGCGUACGAUUAGAUAGUUGGUGAGGUAAUGGCUUACCAAGUCUACGAUCGUUAACUGGUUUGAGAGGAUGAUCAGUCAGACUGGAACUGAGUCACGGUCCAGACUCCUACGGGAGGCAGCAGUGAGGAAUCUUCCACAAUGGGCGAAAGCCUGAUGGAGCAACGCCGCGUGCAGGAUGAAGGCCUUCGGGUUGUAAACUGCUUUUAUAAGUGAAGAAUAUGACGGUAACUUAUGAAUAAGCACCGGCUAACUACGUGCCAGCCGCCGCAGUAA
RNAcentral lists this ribosomal RNA (467 nucleotides) under uncultured bacterium. RNAcentral's name for it is "partial 16S ribosomal RNA". It matches the Rfam family "Bacterial small subunit ribosomal RNA", at positions 28 to 523 of the family's 1533-position model. The record is from RNAcentral.